Molecule: transfer RNA, 65 nt
Filed under: Neotoma lepida (desert woodrat)
Lineage: Eukaryota; Metazoa; Chordata; Mammalia; Rodentia; Cricetidae
Rfam family: tRNA
About the family: Transfer RNA (tRNA) molecules are approximately 80 nucleotides in length. Their secondary structure includes four short double-helical elements and three loops (D, anti-codon, and T loops).
Source: Rfam by way of RNAcentral
AUGUGGCUCAGCUGGUAGAGUGCUUGUUUAGCAUGUAUAAGACUCUUGGGUUCAAUUCCCAGCAU